This 334-nucleotide unclassified non-coding RNA is filed under the name soil metagenome. Its description in RNAcentral is "partial contains 5.8S ribosomal RNA, internal transcribed spacer 2, and large subunit ribosomal RNA". The stretch from base 1 to 120 matches the Rfam family "5.8S ribosomal RNA", at positions 35 to 154 of the family's 154-position model. The record is from RNAcentral.
GAUGAAGAACGUAGCGAAAUGCGAUACGUAAUGUGAAUUGCAGAAUUCAGUGAAUCAUCGAAUCUUUGAACGCACAUUGCGCCUGCCAGCACUCUGGCAGGCAUGCCUGUUCGAGCGUCAUUUCAACCAUCAAGCCCUAGGCUUGCGUUGGAGCCCUGCGGCUGCCGCAGGCCCCUAAAAGCAGUGGCGGGCUCGCUAUCACACCGAGUGCAGUAGAUUACUCUUCGCUCAGGGCGUGUGGCGGGUUCCAGCCGUGAAACCCCCUACGUCUCAAGGUUGACCUCGGAUCAGGUAGGAAUACCCGCUGAACUUAAGCAUAUCAAUAAGCGGAGGA